UGAGGAAUAUUGGUCAAUGGAAGGAAUUCUGAACCAGCCAUGCCGCGUGCAGGAAGACGGCUCUAUGAGUUGUAAACUGCUUUUGUACGAGGGUAAACUUGGGUACGUGUACCCAACUGAAAGUAUCGUACGAAUAAGGAUCGGCUAACUCCGUGCCAGCAGCCGCGGUAAUACGGAGGAUCCGAGCGUUAUCCGGAUUUAUUGGGUUUAAAGGGUGCGUAGGUUGUUUUAUAAGUUAGAGGUGAAAUCUCAACGCUCAACGUUGGAACUGCCUCUGAUACUGUAGGACUAGAGACCAGUUGCAGAAGGCGGAAUGUGUGGUGUAGCGGUGAAAUGCUUAGAUAUCACACAGAACACCGAUUGCGAAGGCAGCUUUCUAAGCUGGUUCUGACACUGAUGCACGAAAGCGUGGGGAGCAAACA
This 422-nucleotide ribosomal RNA is filed under the name uncultured Alistipes sp. Its description in RNAcentral is "partial 16S ribosomal RNA". It matches the Rfam family "Bacterial small subunit ribosomal RNA", at positions 355 to 774 of the family's 1533-position model. The record is from RNAcentral. Lineage: Bacteria; Pseudomonadati; Bacteroidota; Bacteroidia; Bacteroidales; Rikenellaceae.